AUCUGAGCCUGGGUGAGCAGGAGUGAAUCUCCCUUCCUGGAGAUGACUUCUUGGUCUUUUAUUAGCAUUUAUGUCUCGGUCUCUUUUCUUUGGCCACAAAACCACAGUUUUUCCUGUUUGAGGCGAAUGCCUUUGAUAAGAUGAGUAGGAAAGAUCGGCAGCUCCAUGGGCAUCCUGACACAAGCUCCUGAUGAUCACAUUUCAGAUAGAAUCACAAUCCAAUGAGACACUUUACAACAGAUCCUCAAUGCCAGCUCAGGAAAUAAGCACUACUGUAAUCGGGGUGUUCUGCUGGAUGUUACAGAAAGGAACACUGUCACCAGAGAAAAGGAAAAAGAAGACGAGGAGGUACUGAGGGGAAAGCCAGCAUUGGAUUAUAUUGUUACUGUGGUAGUGGUUGUGUUGGUUCUGCUAGUACUCGAGCCCUUGCUGGAAAGUAGACUACUGGCAUCUACCCUCCUGCCUCCGAUGGAGCGUAUUGAUCCUUCACGGACAUUAGAAGGAAGAUCAGCUGCUCUCCAGAACCCCCAGACCUUCAGUGAUGGAGUGGGACUGACUCAGGACCUGAGCAGCCAGUGCUGGGCUCCCAGCUUCCCCAGUGUGCAGACAGCCAGUGUUGGGCUACCCGGGUCGUGUUGUGUUACCCAAUCUGAUUAGGUUGUUGGAACAUGGAGCAAGAAUGGAGUCAUGCGAGGGAAUUCUGAGUGCUGUGAGAAAUCUCCCAGAAAACAAGUCAAGAGUCUGGCCACCUCAGUUCUUCCGAAAUUCAGAACUGUGUCUGGAGUGUGUUGUGUCGGCUGUAGCAGACAGGAGUGAGUGUUCUUCAGCUGCUAUCCUAUGCCUCUGAGAAAAAACAUGGCACGAGCGGCUUGUCCUCAUGAUUGUACACUGUGCUUGGGUGACUCUCCUUAACCCUCAGAGUGGAAAUUGUCUGAUGCUCUCAAUAAAGUUGGCUAUGGCAUGACA
Molecule: long non-coding RNA, 966 nt
Organism: Rattus norvegicus (Norway rat)
Lineage: Eukaryota; Metazoa; Chordata; Mammalia; Rodentia; Muridae
Source: RefSeq, a predicted model, not a curated record